This 477-nucleotide ribosomal RNA is filed under the name uncultured bacterium. RNAcentral describes it as "partial 16S ribosomal RNA". It matches the Rfam family "Bacterial small subunit ribosomal RNA", at positions 30 to 507 of the family's 1533-position model. The record is from RNAcentral.
AUUGAACGCUGGCGGCAUGCCUUACACAUGCAAGUCGAACGGUAACAGGUUAAGCUGACGAGUGGCGAACGGGUGAGUAAUACAUCGGAACGUGCCCAGUAGUGGGGGAUAGCCCGGCGAAAGCCGGAUUAAUACCGCAUAUGACCUAAGGGUGAAAGGGGGGGAUCGCAAGACCUCUCGCUAUUGGAGCGGCCGAUGUCAGAUUAGCUAGUUGGUGGGGUAAAAGCUCACCAAGGCGACGAUCUGUAGCUGGUCUGAGAGGACGACCAGCCACACUGGGACUGAGACACGGCCCAGACUCCUACGGGAGGCAGCAGUGGGGAAUUUUGGACAAUGGGCGCAAGCCUGAUCCAGCCAUGCCGCGUGCGGGAAGAAGGCCUUCGGGUUGUAAACCGCUUUUGUCAGGGAAGAAAUCCUUUGGGUUAAUACCUCGGGGGGAUGACGGUACCUGAAGAAUAAGCACCGGCUAACUACGUG